RNAcentral lists this ribosomal RNA (1065 nucleotides) under Triticum aestivum (bread wheat). RNAcentral's name for it is "partial small subunit ribosomal RNA". The record is from RNAcentral. Lineage: Eukaryota; Viridiplantae; Streptophyta; Magnoliopsida; Poales; Poaceae.
AUGCAAGUCAUUCCUUCAUCAAUAAGUAAUAGAAGCCUACUUGUCUCUAGAGAUACUGGUUCAGGGAAAAUAGCUUAUUUUCUAGUUGCUAUAAUUGCACGUUGUUCACAGAGAGAGCAAUGUACAAGCAAGCGUGGGCCCUUGGCUAUAGUCCUUGCUCCAACUAGAGAGCUGCGCCUACAGGUGGAGGAUCAAUCAAAUGUGCUUGGAAAGGGUUUACCAUUUAAAACUGCUCUAGUUGUUGGUGGAGACCCCUUGGCUCACCAAAUAUAUAGAAUUGAAAAUGGUGUCGAGCUAAUUGUUGGCACCCCUGGGAGACUAAUUGAUCUUCUGAUGAAACACAAUGUUGACCUUAAAGAUGUUUCUAUGUUUGUUUUGGAUCAAGUGGACUGCUUGCUACAGAGAGGAUUCAGAGAUCAGGCCAUGCAGAUCUUUCGCACGCUCUCAUGUCCACAGGUUAUGAUGUUUUCAGCAACAGUACAUCCAGAAAUUGAGGAAUUGUCAAACUCACUGUCUAACAACAUGAUACACAUUUCUUGCGGGAACCCAGGUAAACCAAACAAAUCAGUUAGACAAGUGGUAAUUUGGGUGGAGCCUAACCAGAAGAAGAAGAUUUUUGAGAUAAUGACAAGUAAGAAGCACUUUAAACCUCCUGUUGUUGUAUUUGUGAGUUCCAGAGUUGGUGCCGAUCUCUUGUCUAAAGCAAUUACUGCUGCUACUAGCUUGGAGGUUGUUUCUAUUCAUGGUGAGCAAACAAUGAAAGAGAGGAGAGAAGGAUUGAGACGGUUUCUCACAGGGGAAGUAUAUGUUGUUGUUUGUACAGGGAUCUUGGGACGUGCAAUGGAUAUUCUGAAAGAUAUUCACCAAGUUGGAAGAGCGUCUCAGAUGGGUGAGGAGGGUGUGGCUAUUGUCUUUGUGAAUGAGGAGGAUCGGAAACUUUUUAGAGAGCUUGUUCAGGUUCUGAAGACUGCAGGAGCUCCAAUUCCCCGGGAACUCUCUAAUUCAAAAUUCACCGGCAGUAUUUCUCUUGGGAAGAGAAAACUGGGUUCUCUGGCACCUUCUUGA